UUUUUUUUUUUUUUUUGUUUGAUACUUCAAUUUUAAAUUUUUUGUAAUUUCACUCGUAACUACAUUCUUCUCUUUCAAAUGACACAAUUCUGUCAAAGGUGUUAAUAAUUUUUUACGGUACAAAUUAUAUAAAUUGUUGCUUAUUAAACUUUAGCCCAAGAGUAUCGGUUUUAAUGUCGUAUCCUCCGCAGGUUUGACGAACGAGUUAACCAACUUUAUAAUUGAAAAUGUGCUUUUUAAUUUGUGUCGUUUAGGACUUCUUUUUUUAAAUUAAACAACAUUAAGAAACACUGUUGACGAUUGCUAGUUUUAUUGUUUGACGUCGAGAUAAAGAAAAAUCUACGUUUUGUAUAUUUUAUGGAUAACAGAUGCAGUGUUCGCAACGUUGUUUCCUCAUUGAAUAAUAUCUUCGUAUUUUGUACAAAAUGUAAAACAUGCAUUUCCUGACAAGGCUCUGCAUCAUGGAAUUUUAAGCGCUAUUAUAUAUAUAGAGAGAGAGAGAAAAA
Molecule: long non-coding RNA, 506 nt
Organism: Apis florea (little honeybee)
Lineage: Eukaryota; Metazoa; Arthropoda; Insecta; Hymenoptera; Apidae
Gene: Sin3A
Source: RefSeq, a predicted model, not a curated record